This 68-nucleotide transfer RNA is filed under the name Lophostoma brasiliense (Pygmy round-eared bat). RNAcentral describes it as "tRNA-Thr". Lineage: Eukaryota; Metazoa; Chordata; Mammalia; Chiroptera; Phyllostomidae. The record is from RNAcentral.
GUCCAUGUAGUAUACUUAUUAUUCUGGUCUUGUAAACCAGAGAUGGGAAUAAACUCUCCCCAUAGACU